CUCCUGAAUUUGCUCUCUCAUUCACCUGAAACAGGUAUUAUAGGACAGGAGGCGUACCAGUCAUCCUUAAGAAUGCCCUUGUGUUUUGUUGGACUGUAUUCUCUGGUAUGUUUUUGUUUAUUAUGUCCCAGGGGUUCAGCUCAAUCGCCACUUGUGAGGGGAAUUAUUUUUUCAGGUUUCCCCUAAAUGGCAUUUUCCGAGGCUUUUUGCUUCCCUCUGCAACGUUUUCUUUGUGAGCAGGGGUUUUCUUUUUUACCAUUCCCAUCUCACACAUACUGACCUUUAAAAAUGGAGAGAGAGAGGAGCUAGAAUAGUGGCACCUAUUUCCACCGCUACAGACAUUUGCGUGGACUUUCCACAGUGUUCUGGGUAAAAGGGGUAGCAUUUAAAGAUGGAGAGGAGGAGAAAUGUCGGAAUGGGAGAGGAGGACGGAUAAAGAGGAGAGAAUAAGCAGCCAGAUGAUGCCCUGCCCCCCAGGCAAGGAGGGUGCAUGGGUGGGUGCCUGCCCCCCUCCCUUCCCCCCCCCCCCUUCAUCCUGUACACGUGAGACCAUUUGUUCCAUUACCAAACCCCCCCCCCCCCCGUCCUCACAGCUCAAACAACUGCACGCGCUCAGUGCACACAUGGAGGCCCGGCACCACUCUGCUCAUCCAGACGCUCUAACCAGCCCUGCUCAGGCUGCCAUAUGGUUGGCAGAAGCCUGUAGAUUUAGCAGCACAUCUGCUUAUGCAUUACUGCCUUCCUGCAGGCCUGGGGGGCUUCAGGUGGGGGGGGGGGGGGGGGUUGGAGGAAUAAUAAAAAAAAUAAUUAUUGCAAUAAUUUGUGCAGCGAGCAUCAGAACUGAAUGAUGGACACUAUGGUUGAGAGAGAAAACUACAGUGCUAUUCAUGCAACAGGCUUCUGCAUAGGAUAAUAAGAGCUGCUGUGUCACUAGCAAGAUU
Anguilla rostrata (American eel) is the source of this 941-nucleotide long non-coding RNA. RefSeq lists it as uncharacterized. Lineage: Eukaryota; Metazoa; Chordata; Actinopteri; Anguilliformes; Anguillidae. The record is from RefSeq and is a predicted model, not a curated record. The transcript has 3 exons.